This 2299-nucleotide long non-coding RNA is filed under the name Homo sapiens (human). Its description in RNAcentral is "HSALNT0393657". Lineage: Eukaryota; Metazoa; Chordata; Mammalia; Primates; Hominidae. The record is from RNAcentral.
CAAUUUGGAAAAGGAAAGCAUGAGAAGCACACUACAGAGACUGAUCUAGAGAAGUUAUCACUGUGCUGGGUGGGAGUCAUUCAUCUGUCUGCUCUGGGAGUUACAGAUUCACAUGAAGUCCCAGGAUAGCUUCUGUCGGCUUUGGUGGCCUGUUGCAGCAGCCAGCAGCAGGAAACUUGAGGAGCUAUCAUCUCAGGAAUGAACGGGGCCACAUCAAUAAGGAGACCUGUAAUGAUGUGGCUCUAAAUGUCAGCUUUAAAAGCCUGGGAAUUGAUAGAGGAAGAGAGAAGAAAGGGUGUCCCAGUUUUCCACAUGCCGAAUGAUUCAGCAAAAUAAUGUGAGCAAGUCAAGACUCUGGAAAAUAUUUUUAGAUGCCAAACAAAAACCUGGAGGUAAAUCUCUGCUACACUGUCAGUUAGGUUCUUAGCAUCCAGUUUGAUUUGUUGUACUUUAAAAUGAAUGGAAGAAAUUAUAAGGAGCACAGAUAACUACAAAUAAUUCAAGGUUUGGGAAAAUGAAAUUGAAUAUAAAACUAUGAAAUGUUAUAGUAGCUAUAAAAUCCUAGUUUUUCAGUGUAGAAGAGUAAAGGUUAAAGAAUGACAGAAACUGUCUUGAAAUAGACAAAAGGAUAUAAAUAUCACAAUUAUAUCACUAGAGUAAACUUUAGAUUUCUUUUCCCAACCCAUAUCCUGACUGUCUACCACCAACCACCAUUUGACAGCAGAAGACACUGAGGCCAGGCAGGUGAAGCUGUUUGUUCAAGAACCAGAGUUGUUUCAUGGGAGAUCUAGAGAUUAGAGCCCAAGCAUCCUGACUUGUAGUUCUCUUUCCAUUUCUUAAGAUACAACCAUUAGGUAAUUUUAUGGAUUUUUUUCCCACAAAUAUACCAGGAUCUACGAUUGAUAUGAGCAUUCGCAUCAUUGUAACUGCUUCAGAAAGCUGGAAUAAUAGAACAUUUUAAAGUACUUCUUUUGGAACUAUUUGUAGACCCAAUUUAAAAGCCAGAAAAAGAACCUCACUGCUCUAUAAUUUUUAUUCUGAAAUAUUUGCUUAUGAUCUAUAAUGCAUUACCCAGCUUAAAUAAUAGAUGAAUCCAGCAACUUGUUUCUGAGUGACUUUUUGUCGUUGUUAAAAGUCAAAUCCAUCUUAGAGGACAGAGAUUUUUCCCCAGAAACUCUGAUGAAGGAAGGCUUUGAAAGUAAUUCCAGGAAAGUCUUGAAAUAUUUUGAGAUAUGGCAACAAUGUUGCCAUAAUGUGAAUAUUUUUCUUUUGAAUAUUUCUUUUAGUAAUGCUAUGGUAUUAACAGUUUUUAAAAUAAAUCCUUUUCUUUUACAGCCCAUUCCAUUUGACUUGAGAUAUUAAAAUCUUAUGACAAUCUAUAAGCCAGACCAGUAGAAAUGUGACAACCUCUUUAUAGUCUUUAACUCUGCAACAGCUUUACAAUUAUAGAGAUUAGAGAACCAUUAGAAUUGUGAUACAAGUAAUAUAAGUAUAGGUUUUAACACUGUCAUCUGUCACUGCCAUGUUCCUAACAUAUAUAGAUAAAGUAUAGUUUUAAAAAAGGAAUAUAAAAUACAUUAUUAAUAUGCUUUUUAAAGUAAAUAAAUACAGUUGUGGCCAGAAAUGGGAACAUUGUUUAUGGAUAGCUAAGGUAUAGUAAAGUCAUUGCUUUAUUUUGGAGAAAGACAGAAAAAUACAAGAUAACUCUAGACUUCCUUACAAAAAAAGAUAUAUAUACACACACACAUUAAAAUUCAAAGAUAAACACUAAAAUAAUAGAUAAGUAACUCUUGCUUCUAGAAGUGUCCCCCAUGUGGUAGAGUACUACAGCCUAGCUAAUUGCUUAAAGCUGCAAUUAGGGACGCUGAAGUGGAAACACCCACCACCUUUGAAAUGAGGUUUAAAAAGCUUAAAAUAAUUCUUGCUUAUGGUGAAGGCUUAUGCAAAGUCACUAGGGAAGCUAGAGAGAGCAGACACACUUUGCAGUCAGGAACUGACUCUACACCUAGCUUAGUAACUGGGUCAGCAUGUUGACCAUAACAGCAGAGAUGCUGUAAACCAUGAAUAUAAGGCUUAUAAAUUAAAAUUCCAAAAAGAUGGCAGGAAGAAAGAAAACCAACAAAAUCAACAAUCAGAAAGUAAAUUGUUCCAGAUAAAAUGAGCAUGUAAGAGCAAUCUGAAAAUGAUUUGAAAAUAAACAUGAUUAGGAUACUCAAAGAAAUAAAGAAGGAAAUUUCUGAUAGAGAAAGAAAUUAUGAAACCAGACAAGACAGAAAUGAUACAAAAACAAAAGCAUUUG